GACGAACGCUGGCGGCGUGCUUAACACAUGCAAGUCGAACGGAAAGGCCCUGCUUUUGUGGGGUGCUCGAGUGGCGAACGGGUGAGUAACACGUGAGUAACCUGCCCUUGACUUUGGGAUAACUUCAGGAAACUGGGGCUAAUACCGGAUAGGAGCUCCUGCUGCAUGGUGGGGGUUGGAAAGUUUCGGCGGUUGGGGAUGGACUCGCGGCUUAUCAGCUUGUUGGUGGGGUAGUGGCUUACAAAGGCUUUGACGGGUAGCCGGCCUGAGAGGGGGACCGGCCACAUUGGGACUGCGGUACGGCCCAGACGCCUACGGGAGGCAGCAGUGGGAAAUAUUGCGCAAUGGGCGGAAGCCUGAUGCAGCAACGCCGCGUGCGGGAUGACGGCCUUCGGGUUGUAAACCGCUUUCGCCUGUGACGAAGCGUGAGUGACGGUAAUGGGUAAAGAAGCACCGGCUAACUACGUG
RNAcentral lists this ribosomal RNA (468 nucleotides) under uncultured bacterium. RNAcentral describes it as "partial 16S ribosomal RNA". It matches the Rfam family "Bacterial small subunit ribosomal RNA", at positions 28 to 507 of the family's 1533-position model. The record is from RNAcentral.